This 395-nucleotide ribosomal RNA is filed under the name Entamoeba histolytica. Its description in RNAcentral is "SSU rRNA". It matches the Rfam family "Eukaryotic small subunit ribosomal RNA", at positions 1034 to 1430 of the family's 1831-position model. The record is from RNAcentral. Lineage: Eukaryota; Evosea; Mastigamoebida; Endamoebidae.
AAGCAUUGUUUCUAGAUCUGAGUAUAUCAAUAUUACCUUGUUCAGAACUUAAAGAGAAAUCUUGAGUUUAUGGACUUCAGGGGGAGUAUGGUCACAAGGCUGAAACUUAAAGGAAUUGACGGAAGGGCACACCAGGAGUGGAGCCUGCGGCUUAAUUUGACUCAACACGGGAAAACUUACCAAGACCGAACAGUAGAAGGAAUGACAGAUUAAGAGUUCUUUCAUGAUUUAUUGGGUAGUGGUGCAUGGCCGUUCUUAGUUGGUGGAGUGAUUUGUCAGGUUAAUUCCGGUAACGAACGAGACUGAAACCUAUUAAUUAGUUUUCUGCCUAUAAGACAGAAAUGUUCGCAAGAACAGGUGCGUAAGUACCACUUCUUAAAGGGACACAUUUNCAA